UAAAAAGAAUGACAAUAUUUGUCUUUUGUGUCUGGGAAUUCAAUUUUAAAAAUUUUGAGCAACUGCCAAGCUCCUUUCAGUAGCAGCUUUGACACACAGCAGAAGCAGCAGCAAUGCACGAUGGUCCUAGGGUUCUUGUAUUUGAUUUUAACUUUUUUCUGUUUGGGGUUUUCUUGUAGCUGUCUUAGUAAGUAUGAAAUAAUCUGUGGCUUUUACUUGAAUUCACUUGCAGGAACACCACCCAAGAACAAGAUAGCAAAUUCUUAGAAAUGCCUUGAAAAUGAAACCAAAUGGUGUUUUCAACAUUCCCAAUGGCUCUUCUAACAAGGUCAAAAUAUCAUUCCCAUGUAUCAGGAACUAUGGGGAUGGCUUAUGCGGCUGGGGCCUUUUCUUCUGUGAUACAGAAAGGCCGUUGAUUGUUUCAUCCUAGUUAAUAUAACAUGAAACUUUAAUGAGAUGCCAGUACAAAGUCAAUUCCCCAACGUUUUUGGAAGUUUACAGUGUGAAGUGAUGAAGAUAUGGAAGUAAUAGCAAUGGGAGAGUGGCUAAGACAACUUUUUAAGACCUCAAAAACAGUCUCUCUAAAAAAGGAUUGCAAUGAAUGAUCAGUGAACUGGAAUUGAUCAAUUGCUUUCAGAAGACUAAUGGUUAACACUGUGAUCAUCUCUGGUUAGCACUACAAUAACAUAUAGCCAGCAAUAUAAAUGGAGAGGUAUUUGUGCUGUGAGAAAGACACACUGAUUUUGAACUAAGAAUAAUUUUUAUAAAAGUAUUUUUGUAUUUAAAAAAAUGUUAAUAACGUUUUUCCAAAUAAGAUACCCAAUCUAGGUUUGAAGGAAAAAAUAAAAUGUAUUUUUCUUUCCUCCCUGGUCUCAGGGAAGUGGGAAACAAGACAUCUAACUUAGGAUGGGGGUAGACAGUUGAAGGAAGUGGGUAAGAAGAAAGCCAACCUCCCGGUUGCUGCGGGAGAAAAUGUGGCAAAUCAAUAGUUCAACAGAGAAAGAGGAGGGUCACUGACCAGAGCAAAGGCAUUCUUAGGAGUGACAUGAUGGGCUUCCCAUUUCCCGUAUCUCCUCUGUCAUCCUCUGACCACCUAUAAGCAAUGUUGGCUGGAAACACCAUCAGUGACCAAGUCUUGACAUGUAGGAGAUGAUGCAGAUAGAUAGGAAAAGUGACCAUGUCAAAUGAUAUGCCAUCAAACACCUCUCUGGUUCCUUAUGAUAGGCAGGCGGCAUUGCCUGAUGCGAUAACAUGCUUAAAAAAUACCCAGAAAUGAGUGGGAAGUGGUACACAGGAGAAGCUGGUGAGGACAAACCCACCCACAAAUAUGUGUGCUAUUUGGCCACAGGAUUGUGAAGUUCACAGAGAAUGCAGAAAACCAUGAUUAUUUUUUUAAAUGCAGACUUUUUAGCAAUGUAAAUAACAGUAAGGAAAGUUGAAGAGAAUUUGAAGCUACUAAUUCCAGAAAAUGAAUUUGAUAUUUACUCCCUUGUCGGUACACAAAGCACAGCUGAUUCAAGGUAAAGCUGCAUCUUUCAAGAAUAUUGUGGAUAUGUUCCAAUACAAAGAUGCUUCCAUCAUUCAGGAGACACGCUUGUAUUGAGGACUGAAACAGGCUUUUGUUGACUGCAUUUUCCUUGGAUGCUAUCAGAGGUGGAAAGCUUGGACACUGGCAAAUACCUACCUUACAAAUGAUAAACAUUGUUCGUGGUAUAGGAAACAUAAAGUCAGGCUAACACUUGUGCCAUUAGUCACCAGCACAUGCUCCAAUGAAACUACAAGGAAUUUUUGUUAAUCAAUGAGUGGGUGCCAGCAAGUGGGACACUUUGUAGGAGUUCAUUCUCAGGAGAACUUCCAAGAGUGGAAGAUGCCUGGCUCUCCAAGAGUUGCCACAUUUACCAUUCAGCUUAAGAGUUCAGUUCAGCUCUACUCAUCCAUUCCUCAGAAAUGUUUUAAGCACUCUCUUCCAGACAAGACUGGGUGUAACCGGAUUUCAGAGCAGUGAGAAGACCUCUGUGCCUCUGCAGGAAUUUGCAUCGAGAGGAGACAAUACUACAAGUUGGCAUUUUCUGUUAAUCUGCUAUGUGAUAGGUUUUGCUUGGUGUGCUAACCCAAAGUCAGAAAAGGACUAAAUUCUCUCUGGGAGAAGAAAAGGGAAUAUUAAUAUGAGUGCUGAAAUACAAGAAGAAUUUAAUCAGGCAGAAAAGAGAACAAGUACAUUCAGAUGGCAGAAGCAUUGUAUAUGUAUGUUCCUGUGUGUAUGACCUUGCAGCAGAGUGGUGGAAGCCAGAGAUGAAUAUUGGCUGUUUCCUUCAAUCUCCUUACCUUAUUUAUUCAGAUAAAGUUUCUUACUGAACCUAGAACGUGAUGAUUUGAGUAGACUGGCUGACCAACAAGCUCUAGGUAUCCUUCAGUUUCAAUCUCCUAGUGCUAAGGCUACAGUUGAUUGUGUCGACUCUACAAUUCAUUUCACCAGUGUGGACUCGGUCUCCAGGUUUUAAUCCACACCCUGUCACUCAUUUCCUCGACGACCUUGGGUAUUCAUGCCCAUGCAUGUGCAGAGGACAGAAGAAGAAACCUGGGUUUCUACUUUGACAGCCUUGGUCUUAUUCUUUGAGGCAGAGUCAUUUGUGGAACCCGUAGAUACUCUGAUGGCCUGAGGACUCCUGUCUUUAGUCCUCCAUUACUCAGUAGAUGAAUCAAGAUGCGCAAAAGGAAGAGUUACUUCAAGAUCAGAGAGUUCAUGAAGCUAAGCCUCAAAUCUUCUGGGAAUGAGUGUAGGGGAGCACCUGGCUGGACAACAGGAGACCUUACCUAGAGAUAGCACUUGCUGCAUAGGAACACAGCUGCUAUGUUUCUAAAACUCCAAAAGAAUCCUCAUGUAGGAUUUUAAUGUGAAAUGUCCCAUUUCAAACAUUAGCUUAAAAGUAUCAAUGUUGUCAAUAAACUGUGUCUGUGGACCGUGAGCAUCUGGAAAAAAUGAAAGUUCCAGCUGUGAUUUUCUAUCUAAUUUAUCACAUGAUAGGUUCUCUCUUAAAGCCUGGGCUCUCCUCUGCUUGUUGUACUUCUUACGACAUGGUCUAGCCCCUACUCAACUCAUGCCUUCCCUAUCUGGUCCCUCCUACCCCUUAGGCUCUGUUUCCUUGCCUGUGCACAGAGGAAAGGGUUUUGUAACUGAUGCAUGGAAAUUACUUAAUUAAAGCCUCUCAUUUCUGGAUGUUGCCUUCCUUUAGAUAAAAACUCAGAUACCUCAACAAAGAGUGUUGACUUUUUGUUCUUCCUGCUUGUUGUGUAACAAACAGGUCCAUGUCAGUUCAGUGUUCAAAAGUAAUAGAGUUUCCAGAGUCCAUUUAUGUCUGCAAGCUAGAAUUUUGUUUCUGGAAGGUUUGCCUAUACUAACUGAAUAAGCAGUACUUUUUCUUAUUCUAAUAUCCUUAAUGAGAUUUAUAGACUCUUUACAGUGUUUUAUGCUGAUUAGGGACUUAGAAUACAUCACACACUAAUAAAAUAUCCCCACUACCCAACUUGUGCUUUUGCAUGCUUUAUUUCAGUGAAUAAUGGGUCUUAAAUAAUGUUGGGAACAUGUUAUCUAGGAUGUUCCCAAGAAAUAUGGAAUGAAGAUCCAUCAGGAAACAUUAAUAAAGAUAUAAACACACAGAGCUGGUGACCAAGGAAAUCUGAUUCAUUGGGCUGUAAACUCUUAAAGAAUCUGGGUUGUGAAUGGUUCCCACAAAAAACAAAAUGGAUCUCAAAAACAACAAUUUAUUCAUUUUCAUUUUUGAAUUUGCUUUCUAUGAGUUUUAGCUUGUGCAAAUGUUUUAAAAUUGAAGGUAAUCAUUGUGCCAUGUUCUCAAUCCCAGCAUAAAGACAUUUACUCCACGUAGCUUCCUUUGCACAUGACAACCAUUUUCAUGGUUAUAGCUAAUUAGCUUCCUUUCGGCAUUAGAUACAGCGGAUAUUUAAGCAACGUAAACUAGCUGUCAUCCAGCAGCAUCAUAAUCAAAAUGGCAUAAAAUUCGCCAUAAAACCUGCAGCUAAUAACAUUUAUAAGACACCUUAUCACAUAAGGAUACUGGAAAAGCUCAGACACUGUAUAUCACAAAGCAUCCCCAGGGAAGCAGCUCAGCUUCCUAAUGACAGUGUGUGAGUUUACUCUGGGAGCUUUUAUGCACCUGCCUAAGCCAGGGUCAUCCCAGUCAAAGAGACAAAGCCUAGGUUCCAACGCAUCAACAGUCUGGCCACUUUUUUUCCUGACCAGCCCAGGCAUCUCCCAGUUUAAAGUCACAUCAAUGCUGGCUCUGGAUUCAAAUUAAUGUUUUAGAUGAAUGUGCAUAUACCCUGUUCUCCACCUGAAAAACUUGAAUCCUUUACAUCUAUGUCCUAUUCCUCUAUACUUGUGCUCAUUCUUCUAAAUUCACAUCAUCUUGGGUCUUCUCUUGGGAUUGAAUUAUUGAUGAUUCUGACUCAAGUCAGACAUUAUUUUUAAGCUUGUAUUAUUUUCAUGAACUCUGUGUAGUUAUUACUCAUCCUGGCCAUCUUCUUUUGUUUUAAAAUCGGUACCUUAGACGAUCAGUGCUAUGCCAUCACCAAAAAUAUUGAUAAUCCUGUGGGAAAAUGUGCUUUUCCUCUCAGCAAGUAUGGAAGAGUCAGCCAUGUAGGCUGACUAUGUUUCCACCCACAGCUCAAUGUAUUCAUGGGGUUCCUGGAUUCAUAACUCACAGAGGUGGGGCCUGUUCCUAUUGCCUUGUGUGGACCUUUUUAAAAAAGUCUAAAAUUUGACUACAAUUGAAUUCAAUACAAUAUCCAAUGCUCAGUUUAUUAUGUCUUCCAUUACUGACCAAGCUAAUUAUCUUCAGCUUCUUGACACUUGAAGUCGAGCACCUUUCUCGUGACGAAUGUUUCAAGCUUUAUUUUAUAAUAACGGUAUGAGCUUCCUAUGCAAUAGCUGGGUUAGACGUGGCUGUUUUCCUGGAAUCUUUCUUCUGGUAGGAUCCGGAUCAAGAUUCCUGCCUUCAUUCAUGCUUGUAGUAUGAAUCUUAAAUGGUCUUAUUAAUAACAAUAAACCUGGAGCUGGGUAUUGGAGUGAAUGCUGGAAGAUCAGAGAGACAGAACAAGCCACAGCUAACCUCACCUGGCCAACUUCUCAGCCGAUCCUGGUUCCUCAGACUGGAAGCCUCUGAGUCCUCAUCCAAAUAGAUCUCAGCUGAACUAUAGCGCAAAAGCCUAAAAGCUUAACCAGGCUCUAGUUCCUCGUCCUCACGCCUUACAUACCUUUCUGCUUCUUGCCAUCACUUCCUGGGAUUAAAGGCUCUUGUUACCACACCUGGCUGUUUCCAGUGUGGCCUUGAACUCACAGAGAUCCAGGAGGAUCUCUGCCUCUGGAAUACUAGGAUUAAAGGUGUGAGUGCCACCAUUUUCUGGCCUCUAUGUCUGUCUAGUGGCUGUUCUGUUCUCUGACCCCAGAUAAAUUUAUUAGGGUGCACGAUAUAUUGGGGAACACAAUAUCACUACACAUGCUCUUUGGUUUGACGCACUCCAUUUCCUCUACUCAUUCCCAGAUUUUUAUUGUGCCUCUGCAGACAGCUACUUGAUUUUUCCAUAUAACAAUAUAAUUGUAAAGAUUAUAUUAUGUUAUACAGUAUAUAUAAGAUAUGUGAAGUAUUAAGUAAUAUGACAGUUUAUGCCCAAAUUGUUCUAUAAAAUACUAUAAACUGAUGCUUAGAGAGAAACAAAAGUAAUUCAGAAAAAUUGAUUAGUGAUGUUAUAGAUUGUAGAAUGUAUAGUAUAGAGCAGUGGGAAAGCAUCACACCUUUUAUUCCGUCUUCAUUAAGGGGUCUGCUUGUGUGCUCGUGGUUAAGCAUUAUUGUAUUGAAAGAUAUGAAUAAGAUUGGAAGGAGACUGCAUUAAAGCAUGGCAAGCAGGUA
Long non-coding RNA from Peromyscus californicus insignis, 5924 nucleotides. RefSeq lists it as uncharacterized. Lineage: Eukaryota; Metazoa; Chordata; Mammalia; Rodentia; Cricetidae. The transcript has 7 exons. The record is from RefSeq and is a predicted model, not a curated record.